RNAcentral lists this ribosomal RNA (252 nucleotides) under uncultured bacterium. Its description in RNAcentral is "partial 16S ribosomal RNA". It matches the Rfam family "Bacterial small subunit ribosomal RNA", at positions 524 to 776 of the family's 1533-position model. The record is from RNAcentral.
UACGGAGGAUGCGAGCGUUAUCCGGAUUUAUUGGGUUUAAAGGGUGCGUAGGCGGUCCGUUAAGUCAGCGGUAAAAUUGCGGGGCACAACCCCGUCGAGCCGUUGAAACUGUCAGACUUGAGUUGGCGAGAAGUACGCGGAAUGCGCGGUGUAGCGGUGAAAUGCAUAGAUAUCGCGCAGAACUCCGAUUGCGAAGGCAGCGUACCGGCGCCACACUGACGCUGAGGCACGAAAGCGUGGGGAUCGAACAGG